Molecule: ribosomal RNA, 255 nt
Filed under: uncultured bacterium
Lineage: Bacteria
Description: partial 16S ribosomal RNA
Rfam family: Bacterial small subunit ribosomal RNA
Source: RNAcentral
UACGUAGGGUGCAAGCGUUGUCCGGAAUUAUUGGGCGUAAAGAGCUCGUAGGCGGUUUGUCGCGCCUGCUGUGAAAACUCGGGGCUUAACUCCGGGCCUGCAGUGGGUACGGGCAGACUAGAGUGCGGUAGGGGAGACUGGAAUUCCUGGUGUAGCGGUGAAAUGCGCAGAUAUCAGGAGGAACACCGGUGGCGAAGGCGGCAUCCUGGACCGACACUGACGCUGAGGAGCGGAAAGCCAGGGGAGGCAAACGGG